This 369-nucleotide ribosomal RNA is filed under the name uncultured bacterium. RNAcentral's name for it is "bacterial SSU rRNA". It matches the Rfam family "Bacterial small subunit ribosomal RNA", at positions 917 to 1289 of the family's 1533-position model. The record is from RNAcentral.
GGGCCCGCACAAGCGGUGGAGUAUGUGGUUUAAUUCGAUGCAACGCGAAGAACCUUACCAGGGUUUGACAUCCUGCGAAUCUCUUGGAAACGAGAGAGUGCCUUCGGGAACGCAGUGACAGGUGGUGCAUGGCUGUCGUCAGCUCGUGUCGUGAGAUGUUGGGUUAAGUCCCGCAACGAGCGCAACCCACGUCUUUAGUUGCCAACGAGUAAUGUCGGGAACUCUAACGAACUGCCGGUGCAAACCGUGAGGAAGGUGGGAUGACGUCAAGUCAUCAUGCCCCUUACAUCUGGGCUACACACGUACUACAAUGCUACGGACAAAGGGCAGCAAACUCGCGAGAGCUAGCAAAUCCCAUAAACGUGGCUC